UGGCUCAGAGGGUAAAGCAUCUGCCUGAAAUGCGGGAGACCUGGGUUCGAUCCCCGG
This is a non-coding RNA of Bos taurus (domestic cattle), 57 nucleotides long. The record is from Rfam. Lineage: Eukaryota; Metazoa; Chordata; Mammalia; Artiodactyla; Bovidae.